CAAAUCCAAUGUUGUAAAGAUUCCAAGCGUUGAGUCGUGGCAGCCUAAGCCAGCAAGCAAUGGUUCUAGUUUGGCUAACAUCAACCUUGGCUCCCGUGAAAGUGGCUCAAUGAACAUCCCUCAUCUUGUAUUUGAAGACGUCUUUCAAUAUCCAUCUGAGAAUAUUGAUACUUCCAAUACUGCAGGAGGGUAUGGUCUAGUUGCGGGCCAGGGGACUUCAACAGGAUCUGCUCCACCACCAAAAGGGCCCUCAUUCCCCAAUAACCCAACCAAUGAAAGAGCCAAACCUGCAAAGCUAAAUUAUGGAAAGAUGCCAAAACCAGUUUUUAGCCCCAGAAUAGCGUUUGCUCCCCAGAGAGUGAGUGAACCAUUCGCUCAAAGCUAUAUAAACCAGUCCAGAAACAGCUACCAGCGAGCAAAGUAUCAACAAUCCAACACCAGGUACUCUCCAAGGACCAAAUGGUAACCAACAUGGAUUUUUGAAUUGGAAGUUGCAGAAUGUGAUGUCCUCCCAAAGAAACAAAAUACAACUUUUAAAACUUUACAUUU
Molecule: long non-coding RNA, 549 nt
Organism: Notothenia coriiceps (black rockcod)
Lineage: Eukaryota; Metazoa; Chordata; Actinopteri; Perciformes; Nototheniidae
Exons: 3
Source: RefSeq, a predicted model, not a curated record